UACGACUACAUAUCAGGCAUAUCAAUAAGCGGAGGAAAAGAAACUAACAAGGAUUCCCUUAGUAACGGCGAGUGAAGCGGGAAGAGCUCAAAUUUGAAAUCUUCAAGGUUUUACCUUGACGAAUUGUAGUUUAAAGAAGUGUUUUCUGUUGAAGUUUUGGUAAAAGUUCUUUGGAAUAGGACAUCAUAGAGGGUGAGAAUCCCGUAUUUGACCAUUAUUUUCAGCUGUGUGAUACACUUUCAAAGAGUCGGAUUGUUUGGGAAUGCAGUCCAAAAUGGGUGGUAAAUUUCAUCUAAAGCUAAAUAUUGGCGAGAGACCGAUAGCGAACAAGUACCGUGAGGGAAAGAUGAAAAGAACUUUGAAAAGAGAGUUAAACAGUACGUGAAAUUGUCAAAAGGGAAGCGUUUGACACCAGUGUUGUUUCUACGAAAAUCAAUUUAUGAUGGCUUGAUGCUAAGCUUUAAGACUUUAUCCGCUUGUUGUUUAGUUUUCUUGUCUUUGUGAAUGCACUUUUCGUGGAACAAGACAACAUCAAUUUCUUUUGCUGUAAAAGGGUAAGAGGAAGGUGGCUUCGGCUUCGGUUGAAGUGUUUAUAGCCUUUUAUCCCUGCAGUCGGAGAGAUUGAGGUCUGCAGCGUAGACUCUUCGGGGUUAGAUACGUCGGUGCUAAGCUAUAGCUUUUCAUAGACAACUUGUUGACUAUGUUUAGUCAUGUGGCUUACCCGCUGGCGCUAUUUUACCUACGCUUAGGAUGUUGAGCGCAUGUCUCUCUCU
This 773-nucleotide ribosomal RNA is filed under the name uncultured Neocallimastigales. Its description in RNAcentral is "partial large subunit ribosomal RNA". It matches the Rfam family "Eukaryotic large subunit ribosomal RNA", at positions 24 to 642 of the family's 3401-position model. The record is from RNAcentral. Lineage: Eukaryota; Fungi; Neocallimastigomycota; Neocallimastigomycetes; Neocallimastigales.